CUCCCGGCUCGGCCUCACAGUCGCCGCCUCAUCCGGUUCUCAGACGACACCCGACCCGAGCGACCUCCCGCCCGGGCCCCGGGGCUGCGCCCAAAGCCCUCAUGCCGCCCCCGAUUGGCCGGCCCCGCUGCCACUCGUACCCAGGAGCCAAUGAAAGAGAGGCAUAGGUCUCCGGUUGAGUAGACCUUCCCCCUGGGGACCUCCCGGCGGGCGCAUUGGACGCCAGAACUGUCGUUUCUGCGCAAGAGCCAAUAGCGUGGGGCAGCGAGUUGUCAAGGCCAGGAGGCGGUGUUUCGGGAAAAGGCACUGUUGGCCCCGCCCAUCUUGGGGAGGUCCCUGACGGCAAGAAAACCUAAGUCUCAUUGGCAGGAAGACGGGCCAGUCAACAGUGCGGGCCAAUGACGUUAGGGAUCGAUUCAUAGACUCUGGUCUAUUAGAGUCUUCUGGAGUAAAGAAGGGCCACGGUACUCAAAGAAGGGCGACACCUCGUGGUGGGACCUGGAACACCCUCCGCUCACGCCACGACUUGACUCGGCUAACAGCUGCAACGUUGUUCCCCUACCUCUUCAACUUGAGCGCAUCGUGACCUCUUGGAGCACCCAAUGAAACUCAACGGAUCCUCUCCCCUUGAAAAGAUACUAUUUUGCAGUGUUGGAACUAGGAAUCUUGACCUCGUGGGAAAAAAGCCUGAGAUAGGUGGAAGGAUUUUAUGAGAAGUGAUUUGAUCCCCUGGGCGUGGAUUGGCCAGAGAAGCAGCCCAAUAAGGAGUCAGAUGCCAUGGAGAGAGAUGGGCAAAAAAGUCAACCGAGACAAGGCGUGGCAUUGCAGCCUUCACCACGGCAACCUGGAAACACCCUAGAAGCUCCUUCUCUGAGCUGGUUAAAUAAAUACUGUGCAAGAACUGUAAGAAACACAGGAAGUCUUCAUGUUCCGACAUGUUAACAAUUUGAAAUAUACUGAGAGAAAAAAAAAGAUACAGAACCACUCGUAAAGGAGGCCCACAUUCAUGAAAAA
Molecule: long non-coding RNA, 1014 nt
Organism: Canis lupus familiaris (dog)
Lineage: Eukaryota; Metazoa; Chordata; Mammalia; Carnivora; Canidae
Exons: 4
Source: RefSeq, a predicted model, not a curated record